ACUGUGGGCAGCCGGCCGUGCGCCUGCGUGGUGGCUCUUCCCGGCAGUCCUGGCUCAGUCGCUGAGGCGAGAGUUUGGUGGGUGUCGGCGGCCACGAUGACCCAGGCUGAGAAGGGUGACACGGAGAACGGGAAGGAGAAGGGCGGGGAGAAGGAGAAGGAGCAACGCGGCGUGAAGCGCCCCAUCGUGCCCGCGCUGGUGCCGGAGUCGCUGCAGGAGCAAAUUCAGAGCAACUUCAUCAUUGUCAUACAUCCAGGUUCAACAACUUUAAGGAUUGGUCGAGCCACAGACACUCUUCCUGCCAGCAUUCCUCACGUCAUUGCACGAAGACACAAACAACAAGGGCAGCCCCUGUACAAGGACAAUUGGCUCCUAAGGGAGGGACUAAAUAAACCGGAAAGUAAUGAACAAAGACAGAAUGGACUUAAAAUGGUGGAUCAAGCAAUAUGGUCUAAAAAGAUGUCCAAUGGUACAAGACGCAUUCCUGUGUCCCCUGAACAGGCACGCUCCUACAAUAAACAGAUGCGACCUGCAAUUUUAGAUCACUGUUCGGGAAAUAAGUGGACAAACACAUCUCAUCACCCUGAGUAUUUAGUAGGAGAAGAGGCCUUGUAUGUUAAUCCACUGGAUUGUUACAAUAUUCACUGGCCUAUCAGGAGAGGUCAGUUAAAUAUUCAUCCAGGCCCUGGGGGCUCUCUUACAGCUGUUCUGGCAGAUAUUGAAGUAAUAUGGUCUCAUGCAAUACAAAAAUACUUGGAAAUCCCACUGAAAGAUUUAAAGUAUUACAGAUGUAUCUUAUUAAUUCCUGAUAUCUAUAAUAAACAGCAUGUGAAGGAACUAGUGAAUAUGAUACUAAUGAAGAUGGGUUUUUCAGGGAUUGUGGUCCAUCAGGAGUCUGUGUGUGCCACCUAUGGAAGUGGCUUAAGCAGCACAUGUAUUGUAGACGUUGGGGACCAGAAGACAAGCGUAUGCUGUGUGGAGGAUGGGGUAUCUCAUCGGAACACUCGGCUUUGUCUAGCAUAUGGAGGAUCUGAUGUCUCAAGAUGUUUUUACUGGCUAAUGCAGCGAGCUGGGUUCCCUUACAGAGAAUGCCAGUUAACAAAUAAAAUGGAUUGUCUUCUUCUGCAACACCUUAAAGAAACUUUUUGUCAUUUAGAUCAGGACAUCUCUGGGCUUCAGGACCAUGAGUUUCAGAUUCGACAUCCUGAUUCUCCUGCCCUGCUUUACCAAUUUCGAUUAGGAGAUGAAAAACUCCAGGCUCCAAUGGCUUUGUUUUACCCAGCAACCUUUGGAAUUGUUGGACAGAAAAUGACAAGUCUGCAGCACAGAUCUCAGGGCGAUCCUGAGGAUCCUCAUGAUGAACAUUACCUGCUGGCCACACAGAGCAAGCAAGAACAGUCUGCAAAAGCUACUGCUGACCGAAAGUCUGCAUCCAAGCCUAUUGGAUUUGAAGGGGAUCUUCGUGGCCAGUCCUCUGAUCUUCCAGAAAGACUCCAUUGCCAGGAUGUAGAUUUAGGGUCCUCACAGGGAGACGGCCUGAUGGCCGGCAACGAUUCUGAGGAGGCCCUCACUGCACUGAUGUCCAGGAAGACUGCCAUCUCGCUGUUUGAAGGGAAAGCCCUGGGCCUGGAUAAAGCUAUCCUUCAUAGCAUAGACUGCUGUUGGUUCCCCUGGCUGCAGUGUGGAGGGUGGGCUGGAGGGAGAUCUUUGAGAAGGCUAUUGCACUUCCCAAAGCAAGAGGUGGUGGCUUGGCCUAGAAUUAUGGAUGUGGAAAAGAAGCAUGGAGGAUGUCACUGUCUUUUCAGCAUCUGAUGAUACCAAAAAGAAGAUGUACAGCUCCAUCCUAGUGGUGGGAGGUGGUUUGAUGUUUCAUAAAGCUCAAGAAUUUCUGCAGCACAGAAUCCUCAAUAAAAUGCCACCGUCAUUCAGGCGAAUUAUUGAAAAUGUGGACGUGAUCACAAGGCCUAAGGACAUGGACCCCCGGCUGAUUGCAUGGAAAGGAGGGGCAGUGUUGGCUUGUUUGGAUACAACACAGGAGCUGUGGAUUUAUCAGCGAGAGUGGCAGCGCUUUGGUGUCCGCAUGUUACGAGAGCGGGCUGCUUUUGUGUGGUAAAUGGGGAGGAAAUGUCACCAUCAAAGACCAAAAACAAGCUUUUUGGCAUAAAAGACUUACAGAAUAUAUGUUUUGUAAUUUAUUGAUGUAGAUGCUUAAGUGUCAUGGAUAGUAAAUGAAUUUCAACUUUAUGUUGGGGACAUGACAUUGGUUUCAAAUUAUAAACUGCUUUUGAGCAGUUUAGUCAGGGCAUUUGAGAAUAAAUAGGAACUCAUUCUUCAGUUGUAAACUU
This is a non-coding RNA of Saimiri boliviensis boliviensis (Bolivian squirrel monkey), 2345 nucleotides long. NCBI's taxonomy places the organism in Eukaryota, Metazoa, Chordata, Mammalia, Primates, Cebidae. The record is from RefSeq and is a predicted model, not a curated record.